GUGGGGAAUCUUAGACAAUGGGGGAAACCCUGAUCUAGCCAUGCCGCGUGAGCGAUGAAGGCCUUAGGGUUGUAAAGCUCUUUCAGCUGGGAAGAUAAUGACGGUACCAGCAGAAGAAGCCCCGGCUAACUCCGUGCCAGCAGCCGCGGUAAUACGGAGGGGGCUAGCGUUGUUCGGAAUUACUGGGCGUAAAGCGCGCGUAGGCGGACCAGAAAGUUGGAGGUGAAAUCCCAGGGCUCAACCUUGGAACUGCCUUCAAAACUCCUGGUCUGGAGUUCGAGAGAGGUGAGUGGAACUCCGAGUGUAGAGGUGAAAUUCGUAGAUAUUCGGAAGAACACCAGUGGCGAAGGCGACUCACUGGCCCAAUACUGACGCUGAGGCGCGAAAGCGUGGGGAGCAAACAGGAUUAGAUACCCCAGUAGUCC
RNAcentral lists this ribosomal RNA (425 nucleotides) under uncultured bacterium. RNAcentral's name for it is "partial 16S ribosomal RNA". It matches the Rfam family "Bacterial small subunit ribosomal RNA", at positions 354 to 796 of the family's 1533-position model. The record is from RNAcentral.